UACGGGGGGGGGCGAGCGUUGUCCGAAGUUACUGGGCGUAAAGCGCGUGUAGGCGGGUUGUUAAGUCCGCUGUGAAAGCCCGGUGCUCAACGCCGGAGGGUCGGUGGAUACUGGCAGUCUUGAAGUGGCUAGGGGGAAAUGGAAUUACCGGUGUAGCGGUGAAAUGCGUAGAUAUCGGUAGGAACACCAGUGGCGAAGGCGGUUUCCUGGAGCUAACUUGACGCUGAGACGCGAAAGCUGGGGGAGCAACGGG
This 253-nucleotide ribosomal RNA is filed under the name uncultured bacterium. Its description in RNAcentral is "partial 16S ribosomal RNA". It matches the Rfam family "Bacterial small subunit ribosomal RNA", at positions 524 to 775 of the family's 1533-position model. The record is from RNAcentral.